This 253-nucleotide ribosomal RNA is filed under the name uncultured bacterium. RNAcentral's name for it is "partial 16S ribosomal RNA". It matches the Rfam family "Bacterial small subunit ribosomal RNA", at positions 524 to 776 of the family's 1533-position model. The record is from RNAcentral.
UACGUAGGGUGCAAGCGUUAAUCGGAAUUACUGGGCGUAAAGCGUGCGCAGGCGGUUUUGUAAGUUUGUCGUGAAAUCCCCGGGCUCAACCUGGGAAUGGCGAUGAAGACUGCAAGGCUAGAAUCUGGCAGAGGGGGGUGGAAUUCCACGUGUAGCAGUGAAAUGCGUAGAGAUGUGGAGGAACACCGAUGGCGAAGGCAGCCCCCUGGGCUGAGAUUGACGCUCAGGCACGAAAGCGUGGGGAGCAAACAGG